AUCCCCUUACACUGUGUAUGACAGUAUUAUUAUUAUUAUUUUUUUUUUUUUGGAAUUGUUAGUUAGAUUACUUGCUCGUUAUUACUGCAUUGUCGGAACUAGAAGCACAAGCAUUUCGCUACACUCGCAUUAACAUCUGCUAACCAUGUGUAUGUGACAAAUAAAAUUUGAUUUGAUUUGAUUUGGUGUUCAGGCUAACUAGAGGAGGGUUAGGGGAGGAGGGGGAGAGUGGUGGUCAGGCUAACUAGAGGAGGGUUAGGGGGAGGAGGGGGAGAGUGGUGGUCAGGCUAACUAGAGGAGGGGUUAGGGGAGGAGGGGGAGAGUGGUGGUCAGGCUAACUAGAGGAGGGUUAGGGGGAGGAGGGGAGAGUGGUGGUCAGGCUAACUAGAGGAGGGGGGAGAGUGGUGGCCAGGCUAACUAGAGGAGGGGGAGAGUGGUGGUCAGGCUAACUAGAGGAGGGGGGAGAGUGGAGGCCAAUGGGUGGCUAGGACACGGUCACACUCUGACAAGAGUUUUGGGAUGGGGGCUAAGGUGUAGAAAUGGAGGAGCGGAGGGGAUUUCAAACUGUGGCCCUGUGCUGUGACAACGACAGUGUGUGUGUGUGUGUGUUUGGUCUGAGUGCGUGUGUGUGUGAGCUGUCUUCCCUAAAGGCACAGCUUGGUCCCAGCUCCCGGCCCUGGGAUGCCAUGAUAGCACAGAGGGACGAGGGGAGUGUGAUUAAUCUGUAGCCCCC
Molecule: long non-coding RNA, 733 nt
Organism: Oncorhynchus tshawytscha (Chinook salmon)
Lineage: Eukaryota; Metazoa; Chordata; Actinopteri; Salmoniformes; Salmonidae
Source: Ensembl